CAACAGGGAUUGCCCCAGUAACGGCGAGUGAAGCGGCAACAGCUCAAAUUUGAAAUCUGGCUCUCGGGCCCGAGUUGUAAUUUGUAGAGGAUGCUUUUGGUGAGGUGCCUUCCGAGUUCCCUGGAACGGGACGCCAUAGAGGGUGAGAGCCCCGUCUGGUUGGACGCCGAACCUCUGUAAAGCUCCUUCGACGAGUCGAGUAGUUUGGGAAUGCUGCUCUAAAUGGGAGGUAUAUGUCUUCUAAAGCUAAAUACCGGCCAGAGACCGAUAGCGCACAAGUAGAGUGAUCGAAAGAUGAAAAGAACUUUGAAAAGAGAGUUAAACAGUACGUGAAAUUGUUGAAAGGGAAGCGCUUGUGACCAGACUUGGGCUUGGUUGAUCAUCCGGGGUUCUCCCCGGUGCACUCUUCCGGCCCAGGCCAGCAUCAGUUCGCCCUGGGGGAUAAAGGCAUCGGGAACGUGGCUCUCUCCGGGGAGUGUUA
RNAcentral lists this unclassified non-coding RNA (481 nucleotides) under Fusarium solani. Its description in RNAcentral is "sequence contains ITS2, 28S rRNA gene". It matches the Rfam family "Eukaryotic large subunit ribosomal RNA", at positions 66 to 558 of the family's 3401-position model. The record is from RNAcentral. Lineage: Eukaryota; Fungi; Ascomycota; Sordariomycetes; Hypocreales; Nectriaceae.